This 1189-nucleotide long non-coding RNA is filed under the name Homo sapiens (human). RNAcentral describes it as "non-protein coding lnc-ZNF736-7:1". Lineage: Eukaryota; Metazoa; Chordata; Mammalia; Primates; Hominidae. The record is from RNAcentral.
GAAAUGGUGUAGUCAAUGAAGAAAGUAGCAGGGAUGGAUGUGGAACUGACAGUUGAAGAAAUAAACUUCCCAUCUGUUGCAUAUAAGAAUGUAAUUGGAGCUAGAAGAGCCUCCUGGAGAAUAAUCAGCAGUAUUGAACAGAAAGAAGAAAACAAGGAAGGAGAAGACAAGCUAAAAAUGAUUUGGGAAUAUCAGCAAAUGAUUGAGACUGAGCUAAAGUUACUCUGUUGUGACAUUCUGGAUGUACUGGACAAAAACCUCAUUCCAGCAGCUAACACUGGCGAGUCCAAAGUUUUCUAUUAUAAAAUGAAAGGGGACUACCACAGGUAUCUGGCAGAAUUUGCCACAGGAAAUGACAGGAAGGAGGCUGUGGAGAACAGCCUAGUGGCUUAUAAAGCUGCUAGUGAUAUUGCAAUGACAGAACUUCCACCAAUGCAUCCUACUCGCUUAGGUCUUGCUCUCAAAUUUUUCUGUAUUCUACUACGAAAUUCUUAAUUCCCCUGACCAUGCCUGCAGGUUGGCAAAAGCAGCUUUUGAUGAUACAAUUGCAGAACUGGAUACGCUGAGUGAAGAAAGCUAUAAGGACACUAUGGACUUCAGGCAUGCAGGGUGAUGGUGAAGAACAGAAUAAAGAAGCGCUGCAGGAGGUGGAAGAUGAAAAUCAGUGAGACAUAAAAGCCAACAAGAAAAACCAUCUCCGACCACCCUGCUCUUCCCUAUCCCACCCCUUGGCAACUCCCCAUUGUCACUGAGAACCACCAAAUCUGACUUUUACAUUUGGCGUCAGAAUUUAGGUUCCUGCCCUGUUUUUUGUUUGUUUGUUUGUUUGUUUGUUUGUUUGUUUUUUAAACAGUUUUCAAAAGUUCUUAAAGGCAAGAGUGAAUUUCUGUGGAUUUUACUGGUCCCAGCUUUUAGGUUCUUUAAGACACUAACAGGACCGCAUACAGGCUUUCUCAGCAUUACUGUAUUGUCUCCGUGCCAGAUGUGGCAAGAUUACCAUUAGAAAUGGAAAUUACCUUUGAAAGCCAUUAGGUGACGCUUCUAGGUGAUGCAAGCGUCUAAGGGAGAUAUUAAUCACACUAUAGAGGCAAAAGUGGUAUCAUUUUUCAGUUUUUCUAAUUGUUUAAACCGUAUUUUAUACCAAUGUUUGAAAGUAACUCGGUGUUAGCUUGAGAUGGUUAAGGUUUGU